AAUUCUACUUUAUUAACUUGUGUAUCACCCAUGAGUAGAUGCUUAGUUUUGAUUUACCCUUGUUUGAAUGCUAGUUCCACAUUUAGCUUGUGGCUGGAAUUCAUGUUCUUUUCAAUCGGGUCAAAGAUCUAGGUAUCAUUGCAGAUGUUUAUCCCAUGAUGCACCCCUUGGGGAAGCAUGGCUUCUUUGUGCCGCAAAGGCACUUCAUGUAUUUUUCCUUGUGAAUAAUGAAAAAGGAAAAUGCUGAAAAGAAAAAUUCAUAAAUUCACCAAGUCUUUAUGCUUAAUUGUUCAUAUUCUGGCUCGCUUAGUUGUUACAAGAUGUCUACCAAAAAGAAGUAGGCACUUGGUUUCAAUAAGCCUCACAUGAUUUGUGAUGUGUUGUGGGUGUCUGCACUUAUCUUUUGUUAAGAAUGUU
This 417-nucleotide long non-coding RNA is filed under the name Setaria italica (foxtail millet). RNAcentral describes it as "long non-coding RNA (SITA_LNC001184)". Lineage: Eukaryota; Viridiplantae; Streptophyta; Magnoliopsida; Poales; Poaceae. The record is from RNAcentral.